Molecule: ribosomal RNA, 579 nt
Filed under: Salmonella enterica subsp. enterica serovar Muenchen
Lineage: Bacteria; Pseudomonadati; Pseudomonadota; Gammaproteobacteria; Enterobacterales; Enterobacteriaceae
Also listed under: 2 other names
Description: partial 23S ribosomal RNA
Rfam family: Bacterial large subunit ribosomal RNA
Source: RNAcentral
GUGGGUAGUUUGACUGGGGCGGUCUCCUCCUAAAGAGUAACGGAGGAGCACGAAGGUUGGCUAAUCCUGGUCGGACAUCAGGAGGUUAGUGCAAUGGCAUAAGCCAGCUUGACUGCGAGCGUGACGGCGCGAGCAGGUGCGAAAGCAGGUCAUAGUGAUCCGGUGGUUCUGAAUGGAAGGGCCAUCGCUCAACGGAUAAAAGGUACUCCGGGGAUAACAGGCUGAUACCGCCCAAGAGUUCAUAUCGACGGCGGUGUUUGGCACCUCGAUGUCGGCUCAUCACAUCCUGGGGCUGAAGUAGGUCCCAAGGGUAUGGCUGUUCGCCAUUUAAAGUGGUACGCGAGCUGGGUUUAGAACGUCGUGAGACAGUUCGGUCCCUAUCUGCCGUGGGCGCUGGAGAACUGAGGGGGGCUGCUCCUAGUACGAGAGGACCGGAGUGGACGCAUCACUGGUGUUCGGGUUGUCAUGCCAAUGGCACUGCCCGGUAGCUAAAUGCGGAAGAGAUAAGUGCUGAAAGCAUCUAAGCACGAAACUUGCCCCGAGAUGAGUUCUCCCUGAGACUUUAGGUCUCCUGAAGGA